Oncorhynchus tshawytscha (Chinook salmon) is the source of this 347-nucleotide long non-coding RNA. Lineage: Eukaryota; Metazoa; Chordata; Actinopteri; Salmoniformes; Salmonidae. The record is from Ensembl.
CAGAUAGCAUGUACUGAAUACUUCAGAAAGGUCUGAAUUCAGAUAGCAUGUACUGAAUACUUCAGAAAGGUCUGAAUUCAGAUAGCAUGUACUGAAUACUUCAGAAAGUCUGCACUUUCUACAUUUUGUGUAUAGCCCGAAAUUAAAAUGGAUUACAUUUAGAUUGUGUCGCUGAUCCACACACACAAUAGCCCAUGAUGUUAAAGUGGAAUUAUGUUUUUAGAAAAGUUAAUUAAAAAUGGAAAGCUGAAAUGUAUGUACAUGCCUUUUAUAAUAAUCUAAGUAAUAAUUGUUGGCUCCAGUCUAUUCAGUGAAUCAAUCCUUUAGAGACUUAUCUUAUGGUCAUC